CUUCAUUUCUGACUAAUCAGUGCUAUUGGAAUAUGUGAAACAACAGGGAAGACAUGCUGAUCUGACAGAGAAUUGUAACUUCCAGGAUAUUCCCAUGAUAAGAAGAAAGGAGAAUAAUCUGAUAAUAGAAACAAUUGAAUCAUGUCUGCUACCUUGGAUGGCUGCAUAGGAGAGAUCUGUAAGUAUUGUCUCACAUAAUGCUGUAUUAUUUCACUACAGGCUGAUCUGC
RNAcentral lists this long non-coding RNA (229 nucleotides) under Zonotrichia albicollis (white-throated sparrow). Its description in RNAcentral is "lncRNA (ENSZALG00000008707.1)". The record is from RNAcentral. Lineage: Eukaryota; Metazoa; Chordata; Aves; Passeriformes; Passerellidae.